GAGGCGAACCGGGGGAACUGAAACAUCUAAGUACCCCGAGGAAAAGAAAUCAACCGAGAUUCCCCCAGUAGCGGCGAGCGAACGGGGAGCAGCCCGGAGUCUGAAUCAGCUUGUGUGUUAGUGGAACGGUCUGGAAAGUCCGACGGUACAGGGUGAUAGUCCCGUACACGAAAACACACUUGCUGUGAACUCGAAGAGUAGGGCGGGACACGUGGUAUCCUGUCUGAAUAUGGGGGGACCAUCCUCCAAGGCUAAAUACUCCUGACUGACCGAUAGUGAACCAGUACCGUGAGGGAAAGGCGAAAAGAACCCCGGCGAGGGGAGUGAAAAAGAACCUGAAACCGUGUACGUACAAGCAGUGGGAGCCUCUUUAUGGGGUGACUGCGUACCUUUUGUAUAAUGGGUCAGCGACUUAUAUUCUGUAGCAAGGUUAACCGUAUAGGGGAGCCGAAGGGAAACCGAGUCUUAACUGGGCGUUAAGUUGCAGGGUAUAGACCCGAAACCCGGUGAUCUAGCCAUGGGCAGGUUGAAGGUUGGGUAACACUAACUGGAGGACCGAACCGACUAAUGUUGAAAAAUUAGCGGAUGACCUGUGGCUGGGGGUGAAAGGCCAAUCAAACCGGGAGAUAGCUGGUUCUCCCCGAAAGCUAUUUAGGUAGCGCCUCGUGAACUCAUCUUCGGGGGUAGAGCACUGUUUCGGCUAGGGGGCCAUCCCGGCUUACCAACCCGAUGCAAACUACGAAUACCGAAGAAUGUUAU
Molecule: ribosomal RNA, 759 nt
Filed under: Enterobacter hormaechei subsp. xiangfangensis
Lineage: Bacteria; Pseudomonadati; Pseudomonadota; Gammaproteobacteria; Enterobacterales; Enterobacteriaceae
Description: partial 23S ribosomal RNA
Rfam family: Bacterial large subunit ribosomal RNA
Source: RNAcentral